AAGUCGUAACAAGGUCUCCGUAGGUGAACCUGCGGAGGGAUCAUUUAUGAGAUAUGGGGACCCCGUAUGUGGGGGUACCUGAAACGAGGAUACGAGUGGGGAGGAGCGCGUGGGUGGAGUGGGUAGAGCCGAGUGCGGGCUGUUUGUCGCGAGACGGAGGGCCCGCAGCCGCCUGCCCGGCCGCCCGGAGUGCAGUAACGCAUGUGUCGCUGGAUGCAGGGCCAUUUCCCGUAGGCAUCGAAGGCUUCCGAGCGUGGCAACGCGCGACGAGCAUACAUGAGAAAAUACAACUUAUGGCAAUGGAUCUCUUGGUUCUC
This 317-nucleotide unclassified non-coding RNA is filed under the name fungal sp. RNAcentral's name for it is "partial internal transcribed spacer region". The stretch from base 1 to 46 matches the Rfam family "Eukaryotic small subunit ribosomal RNA", at positions 1786 to 1831 of the family's 1831-position model. The record is from RNAcentral. Lineage: Eukaryota; Fungi.